This is a non-coding RNA of Acanthosepion pharaonis, 108 nucleotides long. The record is from the annotation of a GenBank genome assembly. Lineage: Eukaryota; Metazoa; Mollusca; Cephalopoda; Sepiida; Sepiidae.
GGCCAUAUCAUGUUGAAACACCAGUUCUCAUACGAUCACUGAAGUUAAGCAACAUUGAACCUGGUCAGUACCUAGAUGGGUGACUGCUUGGGAAUAUCAGGUGUUGGA